UACGUAGGGCGCAAGCGUUAUCCGGAAUUAUUGGGCGUAAAGAGCUCGUAGGCGGUUUGUCGCGUCUGCCGUGAAAGUCUGGGGCUCAACUCCGGAUCUGCGGUGGGUACGGGCAGACUAGAGUGAUGUAGGGGAGACUGGAAUUCCUGGCGUAGCGGUGAAAUGCGCAGAUAUCAGGAGGAACACCAAUGGCGAAGGCAGCUCGCUGGGACGGUACUGACGCUGAGGUGCGAAAGCGUGGGGAGCAAACAGG
This 253-nucleotide ribosomal RNA is filed under the name uncultured bacterium. RNAcentral's name for it is "partial 16S ribosomal RNA". It matches the Rfam family "Bacterial small subunit ribosomal RNA", at positions 524 to 776 of the family's 1533-position model. The record is from RNAcentral.